This 81-nucleotide small RNA is filed under the name Limosilactobacillus antri. RNAcentral's name for it is "RNA anti-toxin A". It matches the Rfam family "RNA anti-toxin A". Lineage: Bacteria; Bacillati; Bacillota; Bacilli; Lactobacillales; Lactobacillaceae. The record is from RNAcentral.
AAUGUAGACAGNGCCCCGCUGGAACAGGACUUCCCAUGUAGAGCCGUUAAAGACGGUGGCAUAACUUAAUACGAUUAAAUA